UUGCACCUAAAAGUGCAGUCUGUCUAGAUGGUGAUAGAAGUUUUCUUUUAUUCCACAUAAACCUGAAAUCUUAACCUACCAAAACAUAAUUUUUUAACAAACAUGGGACCAAUGGAAUGAACUACAAUUGUGGAUACUACAAAGGGUAUUUGGGACUGCUCUGGGACUGCUCUGGGUUGCUUGAAGUCCUUGGACGGCAUUUCUUCCAAUGAUUGUUACAGUCAGUACUAACGGGCUGAAAAGAGAAGAAAGGCUACUUCAGAAUCAAAGUCAUGGCAACACAACUGAGGACUAUUGAACAAAAAGGUGAAAGAUGAUGAUCAUCAAAGCCACUAAAAGUACUGAAGUGAAGACCCCCUCAGCUGAUGGAGAAUUGAGGGAACAGGCAAUGAUACUUCAGCUUAGAACAAGCCAAACUGUACAAAACAGUGGAAGUUUUUUCAGUUUUGCGUCUUUAAAUAAACGUAGAAACAAAAUUCAAGUAGGACCUUAUUUUAAAAAUGUAGUCUUUUAAGUUUGAGUGGAAGCAAAUAAGAAGAUUCAAGCAUUGAUCAUAUCAGACAACGUUUUUACACAACCAUGGAUUACCAAUCACUCCAAAACAAGAGAUAAGGAUACAUUGUACAAGAAAUACGACUUAAAAUUCCAGGUUCAAGCCAUACCGUCAGAGGAGUUAUCUACUCCAGUCCAGUGUGAGACAGACCGUACUGGUUUAUAUGGAGUUGUGGUGUAUAAUGACCAAACUUAUCCCAUAACUUCUAGCCAGCAGACCAGAGAUCAGGCACCUGUUGUGUAUGGAGAAUUGGAGUGGCAGCAACCCACAAAGAGAGGGACCGUUCUCUGGUAAAUGCAC
Larimichthys crocea (large yellow croaker) is the source of this 853-nucleotide long non-coding RNA. RefSeq lists it as uncharacterized. The record is from RefSeq and is a predicted model, not a curated record. The transcript has 4 exons. Lineage: Eukaryota; Metazoa; Chordata; Actinopteri; Sciaenidae.